This 492-nucleotide ribosomal RNA is filed under the name uncultured bacterium. RNAcentral describes it as "partial 16S ribosomal RNA". It matches the Rfam family "Bacterial small subunit ribosomal RNA", at positions 29 to 507 of the family's 1533-position model. The record is from RNAcentral.
AGUGGACGCUGGCGGUAGGCCUAACACAUGCAAGUCGAACGGCAGCACAGUAAGAGCUUGCUCUUACGGGUGGCGAGUGGCGGACGGGUGAGGAAUACAUCGGAAUCUACUUUUUCGUGGGGGAUAACGUAGGGAAACUUACGCUAAUACCGCAUACGACCUACGGGUGAAAGCAGGGGAUCUUCGGACCUUGCGCGAUUGAAUGAGCCGAUGUCGGAUUAGCUAGUUGGCGGGGUAAAGGCCCACCAAGGCGACGAUCCGUAGCUGGUCUGAGAGGAUGAUCAGCCACACUGGAACUGAGACACGGUCCAGACUCCUACGGGAGGCAGCAGUGGGGAAUAUUGGACAAUGGGCGCAAGCCUGAUCCAGCCAUACCGCGUGGGUGAAGAAGGCCUUCGGGUUGUAAAGCACUUUUGUUGGGAAAGAAAAGCAGCAGGUUAAUACCCCGCUGUUCUGACGGUACCCAAAGAAUAAGCACCGGCUAACUUCGUG